Molecule: ribosomal RNA, 484 nt
Filed under: uncultured bacterium
Lineage: Bacteria
Description: partial 16S ribosomal RNA
Rfam family: Bacterial small subunit ribosomal RNA
Source: RNAcentral
AUUGAACGCUGGCGGCAGGCCUAACACAUGCAAGUCGAGCGGAUGAAGCGAGCUUGCUCCUUUAUUCAGCGGCGGACGGGUGCGUGAUGCCUAGGAAUCUGCCUAGUCUUGCGGUGAAACAGCCGUAACCGGGCGCUAAUACCGCAUACGUCCUGAGGGAGCAAGUGGGGGAUCUUCGGACCUCCCGAUAUCAUCUUAGCCUAGGUCGGAUUAGCUAGUUGGUGGGGUAAAGGCCUACCCAGGCGACGAUCCGUAACUGGUCUGAGAGGAUGAGAAGGCACACUAGAACUGAGCCACGGUCCAGACCACUACGGGAGGGAGCAGUGGGGAAUAGUGGACAAGGGGCGAAAGCCUGAUCCAGCCCAGCCGCGUGGGUGAAGAAGGUCUUCGGAUUGUAAAGCACUUCAAGUUGGGAGGAAGGGCAGUAAGUUAAUAGCUUGCUGUAUUGACGGUACCGAAAGAAUAAGCACCGGCUAACUUCGUG